This 444-nucleotide ribosomal RNA is filed under the name uncultured bacterium. RNAcentral's name for it is "SSU rRNA". It matches the Rfam family "Bacterial small subunit ribosomal RNA", at positions 26 to 518 of the family's 1533-position model. The record is from RNAcentral.
AGAGCGAACGCUGGCGGCAGGCCUAAUACAUGCAAGUCGAACGGAUCCUUCGGGAUUAGUGGCGGACGGGUGAGUAACACGUGGGAACGUGCCCUUUGGUUCGGAACAACUCAGGGAAACUUGAGCUAAUACCGGAUAAGCCCUUCGGGGGAAAGAUUUAUCGCCAUUGGAGCGGCCCGCGUCUGAUUAGCUAGUUGGUGGGGUAAAGGCCUACCAAGGCUACGAUCAGUAGCUGGUCUGAGAGGAUGAUCAGCCACACUGGGACUGAGACACGGCCCAGACUCCUACGGGAGGCAGCAGUAGGGAAUCUUGCGCAAUGGGCGAAAGCCUGACGCAGCCAUGCCGCGUGAAUGAUGAAGGUCUAGGAUUGUAAAAUUCUUCAGCGGGGACGAUAAUGACGGUACCCGCAGAAGAAGCCCCGGCUAACUUCGCGCCAGCAGCCGC